RNAcentral lists this ribosomal RNA (1437 nucleotides) under Lactiplantibacillus plantarum. Its description in RNAcentral is "bacterial SSU rRNA". It matches the Rfam family "Bacterial small subunit ribosomal RNA". The record is from RNAcentral. Lineage: Bacteria; Bacillati; Bacillota; Bacilli; Lactobacillales; Lactobacillaceae.
GUUAGUCGAACGAACUCUGGUAUUGAUUGGUGCUUGCAUCAUGAUUUACAUUUGAGUGAGUGGCGAACUGGUGAGUAACACGUGGGAAACCUGCCCAGAAGCGGGGGAUAACACCUGGAAACAGAUGCUAAUACCGCAUAACAACUUGGACCGCAUGGUCCGAGCUUGAAAGAUGGCUUCGGCUAUCACUUUUGGAUGGUCCCGCGGCGUAUUAGCUAGAUGGUGGGGUAACGGCUCACCAUGGCAAUGAUACGUAGCCGACCUGAGAGGGUAAUCGGCCACAUUGGGACUGAGACACGGCCCAAACUCCUACGGGAGGCAGCAGUAGGGAAUCUUCCACAAUGGACGAAAGUCUGAUGGAGCAACGCCGCGUGAGUGAAGAAGGGUUUCGGCUCGUAAAACUCUGUUGUUAAAGAAGAACAUAUCUGAGAGUAACUGUUCAGGUAUUGACGGUAUUUAACCAGAAAGCCACGGCUAACUACGUGCCAGCCCCGCGGUAAUACGUAGGUGGCAAGCGUUGUCCGGAUUUAUUGGGCGUAAAGCGAGCGCAGGCGGUUUUUUAAGUCUGAUGUGAAAGCCUUCGGCUCAACCGAAGAAGUGCAUCGGAAACUGGGAAACUUGAGUGCAGAAGAGGACAGUGGAACUCCAUGUGUAGCGGUGAAAUGCGUAGAUAUAUGGAAGAACACCAGUGGCGAAGGCGGCUGUCUGGUCUGUAACUGACGCUGAGGCUCGAAAGUAUGGGUAGCAAACAGGAUUAGAUACCCUGGUAGUCCAUACCGUAAACGAUGAAUGCUAAGUGUUGGAGGGUUUCCGCCCUUCAGUGCUGCAGCUAACGCAUUAAGCAUUCCGCCUGGGGAGUACGGCCGCAAGGCUGAAACUCAAAGGAAUUGACGGGGGCCCGCACAAGCGGUGGAGCAUGUGGUUUAAUUCGAAGCUACGCGAAGAACCUUACCAGGUCUUGACAUACUAUGCAAAUCUAAGAGAUUAGACGUUCCCUUCGGGGACAUGGAUACAGGUGGUGCAUGGUUGUCGUCAGCUCGUGUCGUGAGAUGUUGGGUUAAGUCCCGCAACGAGCGCAACCCUUAUUAUCAGUUGCCAGCAUUAAGUUGGGCACUCUGGUGAGACUGCCGGUGACAAACCGGAGGAAGGUGGGGAUGACGUCAAAUCAUCAUGCCCCUUAUGACCUGGGCUACACACGUGCUACAAUGGAUGGUACAACGAGUUGCGAACUCGCGAGAGUAAGCUAAUCUCUUAAAGCCAUUCUCAGUUCGGAUUGUAGGCUGCAACUCGCCUACAUGAAGUCGGAAUCGCUAGUAAUCGCGGAUCAGCAUGCCGCGGUGAAUACGUUCCCGGGCCUUGUACACACCGCCCGUCACACCAUGAGAGUUUGUAACACCCAAAGUCGGUGGGGUAACCUUUUAGGAACCAGCCGCCCGU